This 241-nucleotide ribosomal RNA is filed under the name uncultured Gardnerella sp. Its description in RNAcentral is "partial 16S ribosomal RNA". It matches the Rfam family "Bacterial small subunit ribosomal RNA", at positions 115 to 356 of the family's 1533-position model. Lineage: Bacteria; Bacillati; Actinomycetota; Actinomycetes; Bifidobacteriales; Bifidobacteriaceae. The record is from RNAcentral.
GCGUUACCAACCUGACCCCAUGCUCCAGAAUAGCUCUUGGAAACGGGUGGUAAUGCUGGAUGCUCCAACUUGACGCAUGUCUUGUUGGGAAAGUGUUUAGUGGCAUGGGAUGGGGUCGCGUCCUAUCAGCUUGUAGGCGGGGUAAUGGCCCACCUAGGCUUCGACGGGUAGCCGGCCUGAGAGGGCGGACGGCCACAUUGGGACUGAGAUACGGCCCAGACUCCUACGGGAGGCAGCAGCG